UCGACUAACGGCUGGGAAUUGGUUUAUCUAAAUAUAUUUAAUCACUCUCCGUCUCUAAACUUAGAGACUCUAAACCCUAAAACACCCGCCGCCUCAAAAUCCUCAAGUCUCCAUCGGCCGGCGGCGUAGCUCAAUCGGCCCCAAAUUAACACCACACCACCCUUGUACCUUCCUCUUCCUAAACCUCAAAACAACUUCUCUCGAAUCCCUCUCCAUUUGUUCGAAUCUUAAAUCUAAGGCCGAAACCCUAAAGCCCCAAAUUUUCCCCCGACUUCGGAUCUAGGACAUGCAAAGCUAAGGGGAUCAAUUGUGCACGUAACUGACGUUGCCCAUUUGUUCUUGACAAGAAUACACGGUUGACAUCAAAUUUGGGUUCAAAUCGAAGUAGUCAGAGUUUCACCAGAUCGAUUUAGGUAUUUUUCUUUUGUUUUUCCUUCUACCCAUUCUGUGUUUCAUCUUCUAUUCCCUUUCCUUUUCUUCAGACAAAAAAUUAGUAAAAGUUUUAAUUUCUGAAAUUAGUUCUUUCCCUUUUGGUUGUCUAUGUUUGUUAUUGUUCUGUUUGUUUUCUAGCUUGUUCAUUUGAAUUCGUUUUUGAUUACUUGUUAUUCAUAUCAGUAGGCCAACUUCUUUUCCUUUCCUGUUGUUGUUUCUAUUGAUCAAAUUAGAAGUCUGCUCCCUCUCUCUUCUUUUUGUUUUAGCCAAUCCUAGUCAAUCGGCAUUACUAGUUUCGUUAUUUUGUGUUCUAAAUGGUUAAAUUCUUUAUUUGCUGUGAAUUGGAAUCGUUUUUGGGUUUUGUUUAAUUGGUUAAUUGCUCUUUUAAUUUGGAAGUCUCCUCUUGGGUUUGUGGUAGUCCAGACCUGGGCAUUAGAAGCCCAUUUGUUUAGGUUGAGAUUUUGAAUUCAGGCAGCCUGCUUUGGCUCAGGCUAGAAAGGUAAAUAAUAGGAAUUUAAAGGGUAAUAUGGGGAGUUUGGACAAAAAGAAUCUCUUGUAACUGAAUAGGAAGCUGCUAUGAAGGUGGGGGUUGGGGCUAGUUUUAACAAACAGAAUUUAAAAAUGAGGACUAACUAGCAAGAAUGAAAAUUAAAGAAUGAGCAAUUGGCAAAUAACAGAACCAAUUCUGCCCUAGAAAGCUUUUAUAAAGAGGCAUGUUUCUUCAUUAUCAAGUCAACGCUGAAAACCAUUUGCAUCUUGUAGUGGAAAUCUGCUUGUUUUUGUUCUUUGUUUCAUUAUUGAUCAGAAUUUUCUAAAAAGGCUCCAAGAAUUGUGUUCAUUUGGGUUUAAUUUGGUUUGAAAUAAGCUGGUUUUGAUGUAACUGCAAGCUGAUAUUGCUGCUGAUUUCUUUCACUUUUCUUUGUUUUGAUCUUUCCAUGUAUUUCUUUGAACAUGGAGUGGCAAAUGAAGUUGUGAAUGUGGUUUUUUUUUGCAGGGAAAGUGUGGUGUCUGUUGAAAUUCAAUAAAGAUGGCUCGUGUCUGAAGCUUGAUUUUCAUAUGUUUACUUAGGCUAUUCAGCCUCUUGUCUAUUUCUCCUUCUACCUCUUUCUUAAAUGUCAUAGAUCUAUAAUAAUAGAUAUUUUAGUAGUUUAUGUUUAAAUAUUAAAUCUGUGCAAAAGUUUGAAGUGGAACUAUGUUAAUUAGCUUGAUCUCCUGCAUUUUCUUGUAGUUGAACUGAGUUUAAUCAGUCUCAAGCUCAAUUGAUUGAGUAUUCCUUAGAAAAGGGGUCGAUUGGAUUCUUCCCCAAUUGUAUGGAAAUGGCUGGCAGUUUAUUGAAGGUUAUUGUCUAGUAUGCAUUUGGUUCCAAUGGUUUGAAUUACUGGUUGUUUGUUCAUUCCACAAGUCAGGGUCUGUUACAUUUUGACUUAUUAGAUAACUGUUCUCUUAAAUGGCCCAGAAUUUUGGUUAAACAGUGUUAAACUCAUAUGUAAAUUGAUAUAGUGUGUGC
RNAcentral lists this long non-coding RNA (1939 nucleotides) under Nicotiana tabacum (common tobacco). Its description in RNAcentral is "long non-coding RNA (NTAB_LNC008918)". Lineage: Eukaryota; Viridiplantae; Streptophyta; Magnoliopsida; Solanales; Solanaceae. The record is from RNAcentral.